This 432-nucleotide long non-coding RNA is filed under the name Homo sapiens (human). Its description in RNAcentral is "non-protein coding lnc-RICTOR-7:1". Lineage: Eukaryota; Metazoa; Chordata; Mammalia; Primates; Hominidae. The record is from RNAcentral.
CUCCUACUUCAUUCAAAGUGAAGGAUAUUAAUUCAACAGCUGUUAAACUUUCUUGGCAUUUACCAGGCAACUUUGCAAAGAUUAAUUUUUUAUGUGAAAUUGAAAUUAAGAAAUAAAGGUGGGGGAAUGUUUAGAUAAAUUAUGUAAUACCUGCUAAUAAAAUAUCACAGAUAUUUUAAAUGAUAGUUUUGAAGUUUUGUCAUAGUAUAGAAAAAUGAUUGGCAUAAAUUAUGAGAAAGCCAGGGCUCCUCUAUCUAUACUAUGAUUGCCACCAUAUUACGAUAAUGCAUAGAAUGAUUUUUCUCCCAUUCUUUUCUGCUUGGAAUUUUAAUUAUGCUUUUAACUCAUUGGCCUUUUUUUUAAAAAAAAAAAACAAUUACUAAAAAAGAGAAUUUGUUAGUUUUUAUUUGUGACCUAGACCUGAGAAAUGUG